Molecule: long non-coding RNA, 663 nt
Filed under: Aquilegia coerulea
Lineage: Eukaryota; Viridiplantae; Streptophyta; Magnoliopsida; Ranunculales; Ranunculaceae
Description: long non-coding RNA (ACOE_LNC000604)
Source: RNAcentral
CAAUGAUAGGAAGACUAUUUUACAUAAUUACCCCUAAUAUACUGAAACAAUUACAAAACAAAGAUUGGAUCUCGAAAACAUCCUGACCAUUUAUUUCAAUCCAACGGCAAUUUACAUAUAUCUCUUAUCACAAAUCUCUUUUGAAUCAAAAUUCUCUCUUUUUCUUUCUCUCAGCCGUUUCAUCAAACCAAGACCAAAUUCUCUUCCUGAAACCCUAAAUUGAUUUGUAGAAUUGAAUUAUGAAGAAGAAAGAAACAAACUUUACAGAUCUGAAGCCCUCUUUUGUAGUAGUUGAAGGAAAAUUCAAGAGAGAGAGAGAGAGAGAUAUGUUUGUUUGUUCAAUUGUUUUAAAGAUGAGAGCCAGUCUUCCUACAUUCAUACAUAUACAUACACAUAUACAUAUACAAAGAAGAACAAAAAGGAAGAAUCGACAACAUCAACAGGUUAACGACCUUUUCCUGUUUUUUUAGAUCAAGUUUGGUUCUUUAUCUCUUCAAUAAUUCUCAAUUUAUUAAAUUUGGUUGUUUAUUCUUCUUAAUUCAUACACAGACAUACGAAGGAGAAGAAAAAGAAGAAUAUCUACCACAUACAAAGAAUCAAGACUUGUAUAAUAUCAAUCGAAGAGCUUGAUCCUGGCUCAUCAUCAGAAGAAGCCGGAUCCAU